Molecule: ribosomal RNA, 208 nt
Filed under: Leucobacter ruminantium
Lineage: Bacteria; Bacillati; Actinomycetota; Actinomycetes; Micrococcales; Microbacteriaceae
Description: Bacterial large subunit ribosomal RNA
Rfam family: Bacterial large subunit ribosomal RNA
Source: Rfam by way of RNAcentral
GUUGUUCUGCCAAGGGCAUGGCUGGUUGGCUACGUUCGGGAUGGAUAACCGCUGAAAGCAUCUAAGCGGGAAGCCGGCCUCGAGAUGAGAUCUCCGUACACCCUCGGGUGUUGUAGGUUCCCAGUAGAUGACUGGGUUGAUAGGCCAGAUGUGGAAGCGCGGUAACGUGUGGAGCUGACUGGUACUAAUAAACCAACGACUUGACUUC